UACGUAGGUGGCAAGCGUUGUCCGGAUUUACUGGGCGUAAAGGGCGCGCAGGCGGUCGUUCAAGUCGCGUGUGAAAGCCCCCGGCUCAACUGGGGAGGGUCACGCGAUACUGAUCGACUGGAAGGCAGGAGAGGGUAGUGGAAUUCCCGGUGUAGUGGUGAAAUGCGUAGAUAUCGGGAGGAACACCAGUGGCGAAGGCGACUACCUGGCCUGUUCUUGACGCUGAGGAGCGAAAGCGUGGGGAGCGAACAGG
RNAcentral lists this ribosomal RNA (253 nucleotides) under uncultured bacterium. RNAcentral's name for it is "partial 16S ribosomal RNA". It matches the Rfam family "Bacterial small subunit ribosomal RNA", at positions 524 to 776 of the family's 1533-position model. The record is from RNAcentral.